UGGCGGUAUGCUUAACACAUGCAAGUCGAACGAAAGUUUUUAACUUUAGUGGCGAACGGGUGCGUAAUACGUGAGAAUCUGCCCUUAGGAAGAGGAUAACUGCUGGAAACGGCUGCUAAUACUCUAUAUGUCGAGAGAUGAAAUAACUUUGUUGCCUAGGGAUGAGCUCGCGCCUGAUUAGCUAGUUGGUGAGGUAAUGGCUCACCAAGGCCACGAUCAGUAGCUGGUUUGAGAGAACGAUCAGCCACACUGGGACUGAGACACGGCCCAGACUCCUCCGGGAGGCAGCAGUGAGGAAUUUUCCGCAAUGGGCGAAAGCCUGACGGAGCAAUACCGCGUGAGGGAUGAAGGAUUUUGGUCUGUAAACCUCUUUUCUCAAGAAAGAAGUUCUGACGGUACUUGAGGAAUAAGCAUCGGCUAACUCCGUGCCAGCAGCCGCGGUAAUACGGGGGAUGCAAGCGUUAUCCGGAAUCAUUGGGCGUAAAGCGCCUGUAGGUUGUUUAAUAAGUCUGUUGUUAAAGACUAGGGCUCAACCCUAGAAAAGCAAUGGAAACUAUUAGACUAGAGUAUGGCAGGGGUAGAGGGAAUUUCUAGUGUAGCGGUGAAAUGCGUAGAUAUUAGAAAGAACACCAGCGGCGAAAGCGCUCUACUGGACCAUUACUGACACUCAGAGGCGAAAGCUAGGGUAGCAAAAGGGAUUAGAUACCCCUGUAGUCCUAGCCGUAAACGAUGGAUACUAGGUGUUGUGCUUCCGUACAGUAUCGUAGCUAACGCGUUAAGUAUCCCGCCUGGGGAGUACGCUCGC
This 805-nucleotide ribosomal RNA is filed under the name uncultured marine bacterium. Its description in RNAcentral is "bacterial SSU rRNA". It matches the Rfam family "Bacterial small subunit ribosomal RNA", at positions 37 to 889 of the family's 1533-position model. The record is from RNAcentral.